AAAACGGCUCUUUUANGGAGCCACCACAUAGAAAAAAGUUCAAGUCA
Nematostella vectensis (starlet sea anemone) is the source of this 47-nucleotide non-coding RNA. The record is from Rfam. NCBI's taxonomy places the organism in Eukaryota, Metazoa, Cnidaria, Anthozoa, Actiniaria, Edwardsiidae.